AGGCUUGUUCCACCCCACGCCUACCCCUGUGGCAUGCCUGCUGCUGGAGACAUCACACUACAGGGAACAUUGGUGCUGGCUUCAGAAACCCUAUUCCUGCCCUACAACUCCUCCUUAUCAACGCAUGGAGCUGGAACUGCACACAGCCCUGGGUGGUGACGUCAUUCUGCUCUCCCAGAAGCCAGAUCUGCAUACUGCCUAGUCAGCUGGUGUGAGUGCUCAUUCAAGGGACUCCAGGGCAACUGGCUGGCUACAGCCCCAGGCUCAGACCAGGAAAAUACACCCAGGAUUGGCAGAAAGGGCAUCAGGAGGUGUGUUCUAACUGCAAAUGCAGCUGUUGGUGACAGGGAAGCUGCUUCGGGGUAAAGUGCAUGUGUCCCUGCAAUAGACGGAAUCUCACAGAUUCACAUGAUGAAUCCAAAGCCUGGGUGACAACGGGAUUAGACGGGCCAACCAGCCUGUGGGUUCCUGGUGUGACAAUGAAAGUCAGGCGUAGGUCCUGCUCAGAUGUGCGCUGCCAGCCGGGCCUAGAGCUACUCUGCCGGAACUAGUGAGCACGUACUUGAACCCGCACACCGGAGGAAAGUAGGUCCAUCCUAUGCUGUUUGAAGCUGAGAAGCUGUCGGGGCUGUACUGUGAGGUGCCUUCAAGAAGCGACCUGCAGCAGAUCUUCACCUCUGUCCCCUGGAACUUUGGGUGCCCCCUACUUGGUUAUGCAGAUAUAAAGAGAGCAGUCCCCACACCCUAUGGGACUGGUAUUUGGGGACCAGCCUGUGCCCGCAGGAACCCUCAUCACCCGAGACUCAGCUCAGCUGGGACCUGGGCAGCAGCUGCCAACCCCUGCUGGAGCAAGAAUCAACUGACCUGAAAGGCAAAGACAUCCUUGACCAGAGCGUCCCCGAAGACAAAGCUGGAGCCGGCCACCGUGUAGCUCAGGAAGACCUGGGGGACGCAAAUACAGGAAGUGGGACUAGGAAGAAAGGAGGGGGAACCAUGGCAGAAACCCGGAUGGAAUGAGCAGGUCCAGCCCAGAUGAAACACGGACACCACGGACACCAGCCUUCCUGCCUCGAGACGUCCCAGCUCUGGGGCAUAGUCCCUGUGUGUGGCCUCCAACAACAGCGUUUAAUUAAUGAAACCUACAAGAGUGAAGACGGUAAACUAUAUGCUAUAUGUACUUUAUCAUAGUGAGUGUGAGGCUAACCUGAACUACACGAAACACCCUCAAAGCAAAACAGACAUACAACUUCAAGAGCUAGGUGUUCAAGGCCAGCCUGGGCUACACGGUGAGGCUGUCUCAAAAAGUAAAGCAAGCCAACAACAGCCACUGAAGUUGAAGGGGCUAGCUCAGUUGACACAGUGCUUGCCUCGUUGGAACAAGGACCUAACUUUCGAUUCCCAGCCGGCACAUGCUUUUAAUCCCAGCACUUGGGAGGCAAAGAUAGGCAAAUCUUUGUGAAUUUGGUCUACAGAGUGAGAUCCAGACCAUCUAAGGCUACACAUAAUGAGACACUGUCUAAAAAGAAAAAAAAAGGUAGCUGAAAAGAAAAAGAAAACAAAACCAAGUAUGACUUCAAUAAACAUUAUUUCUAAA
Long non-coding RNA from Mesocricetus auratus (golden hamster), 1594 nucleotides. RefSeq lists it as uncharacterized. The transcript has 5 exons. NCBI's taxonomy places the organism in Eukaryota, Metazoa, Chordata, Mammalia, Rodentia, Cricetidae. The record is from RefSeq and is a predicted model, not a curated record.